This 460-nucleotide ribosomal RNA is filed under the name uncultured bacterium. RNAcentral's name for it is "partial 16S ribosomal RNA". It matches the Rfam family "Bacterial small subunit ribosomal RNA", at positions 338 to 795 of the family's 1533-position model. The record is from RNAcentral.
CCUACGGGAGGCAGCAGUGAGGAAUAUUGGUCAAUGGGCUUACGCCUGAACCAGCCAAGUCGCGUGAGGGAAGACUGCCCUAUGGGUUGUAAACCUCUUUUGUCAGGGAGCAACGCCGGCUACGUGUAGCCGGACUGUUAGUACCUGAAGAAAAAGCAUCGGCUAACUCCGUGCCAGCAGCCGCGGUAAUACGGAGGAUGCGAGCGUUAUCCGGAUUUAUUGGGUUUAAAGGGUGUGUAGGCGGAAUGCCAAGUCAGCGGUAAAAUCGCGGGGCUCAACCUCGCUCCGCCGUUGAAACUGGCGGUCUUGAGUGGGCGAGAAGUAUGCGGAAUGCGUGGUGUAGCGGUGAAAUGCAUAGAUAUCACGCAGAACUCCGAUUGCGAAGGCAGCAUACCGGCGCCCAACUGACGCUGAAGCACGAAAGCGUGGGUAUCGAACAGGAUUAGAUACCCUAGUAGUC